ACAUCCUACACACUUUUGCUGGGAACAUCUGUGACAGUCGAACGCGUUUUUUCCCUCGUGUUUGACUCCAUCCUUUAUUUUUCAGGAUCUAUAUUCUUGUCCUACUGUUCACAAGAUUUCGUUUUAGCAGAAUGUCUUGGAUGGAAGAAUGAGGAUUACAUAUUUUUGUAUGGUAGAGGUUUAAAUAUACUUGCGUGCAAACAACAUUUCUAUAGUCUGGCUCAUUUAUUCUAUGUAGUGCCCAUACACAGGGUGACAUAUGAGAAAUUGUCCCACAGUAUGAAAUCAAUCACUGUGCUUUUAGGCCUGUGCUUAUUAAGAGGCAGUAAAGAUUUCUUUCCAUUGCCUAGUCUUUUGCAGUAACUUGUUGACCUCGGCUUGGUGCUCUGAGUAAUAGACAUAUGCCAGAGGUUGCCAGGGCAGAAAGCCAAGACCUGGGAUGAGCCAGGUCUCAGCAGGAAAAGGCCAGAGGAGAGGAAGUAAUUUUAUAAUUUAUCAAAAUAGGAAUACUUGGAGCACAGAUUUUAUGAAAAACUAAGAAUUGCUCUUUUAAAAAAUAAAAAUAUGAAAUUCACAGUUAACUUUGAAAUA
RNAcentral lists this long non-coding RNA (591 nucleotides) under Vulpes vulpes (red fox). RNAcentral describes it as "lncRNA (ENSVVUG00000000509.1)". Lineage: Eukaryota; Metazoa; Chordata; Mammalia; Carnivora; Canidae. The record is from RNAcentral.